This 269-nucleotide ribosomal RNA is filed under the name uncultured Eubacteriales bacterium. RNAcentral describes it as "uncultured Clostridiales bacterium partial 16S ribosomal RNA". It matches the Rfam family "Bacterial small subunit ribosomal RNA", at positions 73 to 339 of the family's 1533-position model. The record is from RNAcentral. Lineage: Bacteria; Bacillati; Bacillota; Clostridia; Eubacteriales.
AUUCGUCCAAUUGAAGCAGAGGACAGUGGCGGACGGGUGAGUAACGCGUGAGGAACCUGCCUUUCAGAGGGGGACAACAGACGGAAACGACUGCUAAUACCGCAUAAGCGCACAGGAUUGCAUGAUCCAGUGUGAAAAACUCCGGUGGUAUGAGAUGGACCCGCGUCUGAUUAGCCAGUUGGCGGGGUAACGGCCCACCAAAGCGACGAUCAGUAGCCGGACUGAGAGGUUGACCGGCCACAUUGGGACUGAGAUACGGCCCAGACUCC